UCUCCGUUGGUGAACCAGCGGAGGGAUCAUUACAGAGUUUUCACACUUCCCAACCCUUGCGAACCGUACUCCUUCUGUCCUCGUUGCCUCCGGCGGGGGGGACCGCGGGCCCCCAAACGUCCUCCCCGCCCCCCCCCCCGGGGACCGCCGCCCCUACGCUCCUUUAUCUCUUAACCCCCCUAAACCGGCUUCUAAAACAAACAAAAUCAUUCAACCUUUCAACAACUGGUCUCUUCACCCUUGCAUCGAUGAAGAACUCAGCAGAACAGAAGAGCCCAC
Molecule: unclassified non-coding RNA, 279 nt
Filed under: plant metagenome
Description: partial contains small subunit ribosomal RNA, internal transcribed spacer 1, and 5.8S ribosomal RNA
Source: RNAcentral